RNAcentral lists this ribosomal RNA (1421 nucleotides) under Listeria monocytogenes. RNAcentral's name for it is "partial 23S ribosomal RNA". It matches the Rfam family "Bacterial large subunit ribosomal RNA", at positions 408 to 1827 of the family's 2925-position model. The record is from RNAcentral. Lineage: Bacteria; Bacillati; Bacillota; Bacilli; Caryophanales; Listeriaceae.
CUGAGUACGGCGGAACACGUGAAAUUCCGUCGGAAUCCGGGAGGACCAUCUCCCAAGGCUAAAUACUCCCUAGUGACCGAUAGUGAACCAGUACCGUGAGGGAAAGGUGAAAAGCACCCCGGAAGGGGAGUGAAACAGUUCCUGAAACCGUGUGCCUACAAGUAGUUAGAGCCCGUUAAUGGGUGAUAGCGUGCCUUUUGUAGAAUGAACCGGCGAGUUACGAUUUGUUGCAAGGUUAAGCGGAAAAAGCGGAGCCGUAGCGAAAGCGAGUCUGAAUAGGGCGCAUAAGUAACAGGUCGUAGACCCGAAACCAGGUGAUCUACCCAUGUCCAGGAUGAAGGUAAGGUAAUACUUACUGGAGGUCCGAACCCACGCACGUUGAAAAGUGCGGGGAUGAGGUGUGGGUAGCGGAGAAAUUCCAAUCGAACUUGGAGAUAGCUGGUUCUCUCCGAAAUAGCUUUAGGGCUAGCCUCGAGGUAAAGAGUCAUGGAGGUAGAGCACUGUUUGGACUAGGGGCCCUUCUCGGGUUACCGAAUUCAGAUAAACUCCGAAUGCCAUGUACUUAUACUCGGGAGUCAGACUGCGAGUGAUAAGAUCCGUAGUCGAAAGGGAAACAGCCCAGACCACCAGUUAAGGUCCCCAAAUAUAUGUUAAGUGGAAAAGGAUGUGGGGUUGCUUAGACAACCAGGAUGUUGGCUUAGAAGCAGCCACCAUUGAAAGAGUGCGUAAUAGCUCACUGGUCGAGUGACCCCGCGCCGAAAAUGUACCGGGGCUAAACAUAUUACCGAAACUGUGGAUGAACCUCUUUAGAGGUUCGUGGUAGGAGAGCGUUCUAAGGGCGGUGAAGUCAGACCGGAAGGACUGGUGGAGCGCUUAGAAGUGAGAAUGCCGGUAUGAGUAGCGAAAGAAGGGUGAGAAUCCCUUCCACCGAAUAUCUAAGGUUUCCUGAGGAAGGCUCGUCCGCUCAGGGUUAGUCGGGACCUAAGCCGAGGCCGAUAGGCGUAGGCGAUGGACAACAGGUAGAGAUUCCUGUACCAGUGCUAAUUGUUUAACCGAUGGGGUGACACAGAAGGAUAGGGAAUCGCACGAAUGGAAAUGUGCGUCCAAGCAGUGAGUGUGAGAAGUAGGCAAAUCCGCUUCUCGCGAAGCAUGAGCUGUGAUGGGGAAGGAAAUUAAGUACGGAAGUUCCUGAUUUCACGCUGUCAAGAAAAGCCUCUAGGAAGAGUAGUACUGCCCGUACCGCAAACCGACACAGGUAGAUGAGGAGAGAAUCCUAAGGUGAGCGAGAGAACUCUCGUUAAGGAACUCGGCAAAAUGACCCCGUAACUUCGGGAGAAGGGGUGCUCUAUUAGGGUGCAAGCCCGAGAGAGCCGCAGUGAAUAGGCCCAGGCGACUGUUUAGCAAAAACACAGGUCUCUGCA